GCGGGCGGCGCUGGAGAGUGGCGAUCUGGCAGGCAGCGAAGGGUUUGGGGGCUUUUGAACCGCGGUCUCUGCGAGGGUGGACGGGCAUGGAAGCGCGAAGCCUCAGCGUCCUGCUGCUGCUGCUCGCCGCUGCGGCCACCCCCGCCCCCCGGGAUGGGGAGCCGCGGAGCUGCGAGGCUGUCCGGAAAGUUUUCCAGCUGCGUCAGCUCGGCUCCUUUAGGGGCGUCCCGGAGUUCCCGAGGGCAGGUGUUGAUCUCCAGGUUUGUACUUCUAAAAACCCAACGUGCUGUACCAAAAAGAUGGAAGAAAGAUAUCAGACUGCGGCAAAGCAAGAUAUACAGCAGGUGCUUCAAACAUCUAGUGCUACAUUAAAAUUUUUAAUAUCUCGUAAUGCAGCAGCUUUUCAAGAAACCUUUGAAAUGCUCAUCAAACUGGCUGAGAAUUACACAAGCACACUCUUCUGCAAUGCAUAUAGAAACAUGGCUGCUGAGGCUGCAACACGUGUGCAGGAGUUUUUCACAGACAUUGCACUCUACAUAUUUGGCACAGACAUCAGCACAAAGGAAUGCGUCAACAGAUUUUUUGACAACUUGUUCCCAGUGGUCUACAAUCACAUGAUUAAUCCAGGUCUGACUGAUGUUACACUGGAAUAUGCAGAGUGCCUCCAAAUGGUAAGAAGAGAUAUCAGGCCCUUUGGUGACAUUCCUGAGAAAGUCAUAAGACAAAUGGGAAGAUCUCUGUUACCCAGCCGGAAUUUCCUGCAGGCUCUGAAUCUGGGGAUUGAAGUAAUCAACACAACAGACCAUUUGCAUUUCUCUAAAGACUGCAGCAGAGCGUUAUUGAGAAUGCAAUACUGUCCCCAUUGCCAGGGUCUGAUUUUGAGUAAGCCCUGUAUGGGCUACUGCCUCAACGUCAUACGAGGCUGCUUAGCCUACGUGGCAGAAGUUGACCUUCAUUGGCAGGGAUACAUUCAGUCCUUGGAAGAGCUCUCAAGUGCCAUGCAUGGAACAUACGAUGUUGAGCACGUGCUUCUAAAUUUUCACUCACUUGUUAAUGAUGCUCUCAUGCAAGCUCGUGUCAAUGGACCAGAAUUAACUGAGCAGGUGAACAAGGUAUGUGGUCCACCUGUAAGGAAGCCUACGCAGUCUCCACAUUGUUCUUUUGAUCGGAACAAAUAUAGCCAAGGACUGAAGAUGUUCUCAAGAGAUGUCGAAGAAACUCUUGCCAGCAGAAGAAAAGAAUUUAUCAGCCACCUUCGCCUCUACAGAGCCUUUUAUGGUGGCCUGGCUGAUCAGCUAUGUGGUAAUGAGUUGGCAGCUGCUGAUGAUAUCCCAUGUUGGAAUGGAGAAGAUGUUGUAAAAAGCUAUACUCAUCAUGUGGUUGGCAGUGGAAUCAAAGCUCAGGCUGGGAAUCCAGAAGUAAGAGUGAAAGGAACAGAUCCUGUAAUAAAUCAAAUUAUUGACAAGCUGAAACAUAUUAUUCAGAAAAUCCUUACAUACUAUAAAAAAAAAAACCACUAUGUACGUCAGCCUACCUCAAGCAGAGAAAAUCUUGUGGAGAUCUCCAGAGGCAGGUGUCACUCUAUUGGCUACACUGGAAAUUAAAACAUUUCAGUUGGGAGAAGUGAUUUCCUAUUUCUAUGUGCAGAAAAAGAUGUGCCUGAACUUAUUUGGAAGGGUUCACAUCUCACAGUUUUGUACCCCUGGACUGCUAGCUGGUGGACCUAACAAAAGGAAAACAAUGUACACUGGACAGAGUUUUCUGGAACCAAGGCUAAGUUUUGAAUUAGCUAAAGAAAAAAAAAAUCCUUAACAUUUAUAUUUUCCUGUUUUUCUCUUCUUCCUUUGAGCGUAAAGCACUGCACAGUGCACAGUUAGAUAACAUACAUGUUGAUGCAGUAGGAAGAUACUAUCAAUUCUUACCCAUUUAGUGCAGACAACAGUAGCACAGAAAACAAGACAGACUUUUCUAGCUAUUUAGGUGGAUAGUGACACUAACUGAAAUAUUCAUUAUAGUGCAGAUGCUCUCUACAAAAGCCUAUUUUGCACCUAAAUUGUUUGCUGCUAUAGCUGGUAAAAACUGCUUGUGUUAGGUUUCUCAACAAAAGAGGAACAUUGUACUAUCUUCUAAUUUGAAAGUUAACGUGAAGUGAAGGAGAGUUGAGGGAUUUGGGGUGAAUUAUACCUAUGACAGUGUGAACUAGGGCACAGCUUUUUUUCUUAUUUUAGAAAAUCUGAUCUAUUUGCUAUUGCAAAACCAUGUGAAGUUUGUUUGGUUUUUUUUUUUUCCUUCUUUUAUUUAUUGAUAAUUUAUCACUUAUGCUCCUUGACUCCUAUAAAAAUAGAUUUUUAAUUUAUUUCUCAUACAUUCUAUCAGUCUCCCCAUAAUAGUGAUUGUAGAUUUCUCUAAUAAAACAAGAAGAUAUUUUGUCCCCCUACCAAAUAGAAAUAGUGGCAAUUUUACGAGUGAAAAGGAGCUUCAGGUGCCCUUAAUUCCCAAUCCCAAUUUGGAAAGAAAAAGAAUAUAGGUACUGAUAUAUAAUAGAGACAGUAUUGAGAGUUGAAGAGGUCUUCAGAACCCCAAUGCUGCAGUCAUAAUGGUACAUACACAACUUCCCAUUAACUUUGAUAUGGCUGUACAGAUGCCCAGGGGUCACUCUGUAAAUGUUGAAAGUUGAAACAUUCUUCUAUAAAUUCAUUGAAGAAUAAAAAAGUCCCUUUUUUUGUAAAGGCUUCACCUGCCAGUGGUUGUACACAUAGAUGAGAUUUAUAUUGCAUAAUGUAUCACAGUGGAUACACUGUCAGAUUUUUAACUAGCUAACCAUAUUAGGUGAAUCUCUCAUCUAAAAUGCCUUGGGAUUUGUACUUACUUAUCUAUUUGCUUGUUUGUUUUUGCAUAUGUGCUUCUCAUACUUAUAAAUAAAAAAUAAAAGAAAAACAAACAAACAAAAAAAAAAGAAGCAGGAGCCCUCUUAAAUUUAAACAUCUAUUUAGAUCUUUUUAUGAAUAGAGGAAGCUGUCAAUGUCUAAUUUCAUAUUUUAAUUGGAUAACGUAACCUUUGUAAUGUGAUCUCAUGAGGCAUAACAGAAGUGGUAUAGGAAGUACACUUCAUUCUGAGUGAAAGCCAUUGUAAGAAAUGUCUUGUCUCUGUACACUUUAAGUUGAAGACUGUUUUAAACAGCAGUGUUGUGGUUUACCUUUGCUAGUGGCCUUUCCAUUUAGUGAAUCAACUGCUGUGCAAUGGCAGCCGUGCCAAUUAGUACACAAUCAACUAGAAUAUAUUUUAAGAAUUCAGCUUGAACAUGACCUGCCUGUAGGGAUCUGUAUUUGUGUAAAGAGUUUCUGUUCUUAUGGUUGAAGAAUUAUAUUCAUUAUUUCUGAUGUGGAACAAUUGGAGUUUGCAGAGGUACAUACAAGCCUCAGCUACUUGCAAUGCAAACAGUGUUAAAUCAUUCCAUUUUCUAUAUUCACAGACUAGCUUGAUGGUGAACCAGAAUGUGAGAGAUAUAUCUAGAAUAAAAAAUAAAACAGGAAAGACAUAUCCUGUUAAUAGAUUAUUAUAUUAGAAUUGAUACAGAUUUUGAUUGAUGUAGAUUGAUUGAAACAGAUUAAAAUUUAAUAUAGCAUAGUGAAUCUCAAUUAAACAAAUAAUAUUUUUGGCGCUGCCCUUGCUCAUUUAGUAAACUGCCAGCUACACCAGAAUACAUAGAUGCUCUAUAUCAUUAAGGGUGAAUAUAUAUUUUAAUAUUACAUUACUAUCUGUGUUCUUCCACAGCAGCUGAACUCCUGUUUAGUCCUGUUCUUUUCAAACUGUUUUUUGCAGUGAGACAAAAUUUGCUACAAUGUAUUUUAUUGAAAUAUUAAGGUAUUUUUUCUGCAAAUAUUUCAUACACCAUCCUGAAUAGUUUUGAUUGCUAUUUAAAAGGUUGAGUUAAUUUUACAAAUAAAUUUUUUGAAGUGUAAGAAUUCAGUUACUCUUUACCUUUGAACUUCUUUACGAGACAUGCACUGUAAAUUUUCUUAACACAUGAUUUUAGAAGUUGCAUUAAUUGAAGCUGUUAUUUGCGCCCAAGUAAAUGCCAAUUACUUCCCUCAUAUGUUUUCUCACUGCUUUCUCUCACAGCUGCUACACAGUAGUUUUUUUACCCUUUCUUCAGUACAUUUCCCCAGGGUGCUCACCCAUGGCUGCUGGGACAGGUGAUCUCUGCACUGGAGCCCUGGGAUGCGGCUGUGUCCUUCAUGAGGCAGCCCCAGCCAUACCUUACAGAGGGUUUGUGCAAGCCCCACUGUCAGCUCCUUGUCACGGAAACCUUAUACACCAUUCUGAUAUUCUCGACUGAAAUAAAUACUAUAAUACUAAAGU
This is an RNA transcript of Coturnix japonica (Japanese quail), 4363 nucleotides long. It is a transcript of the gene named glypican 5, with no coding region annotated. NCBI's taxonomy places the organism in Eukaryota, Metazoa, Chordata, Aves, Galliformes, Phasianidae. The record is from RefSeq and is a predicted model, not a curated record.